Molecule: long non-coding RNA, 1489 nt
Organism: Eubalaena glacialis (North Atlantic right whale)
Lineage: Eukaryota; Metazoa; Chordata; Mammalia; Artiodactyla; Balaenidae
Exons: 2
Source: RefSeq, a predicted model, not a curated record
AGUGGCGCGGGCGCUGGGGAGGGGCUAAGGAGAGGGGUCACUUCGUCCCCUCACCCUCCCUCUCUGCCUUGUCCGGGCCCUGAGUGUCGCCCCAGAACGGGUUGAGGGAAUGUUGUGGGUUGGGACACACCCGGGAGGGCACAAACUGGAGGAAGCGAGAGACGUCGCCAGGCACCCAGGGCCCUCUCCUUCCAGUUCCCCGAGCCUGCCCGGUCCCGCUGGCUUCUCCCUCUAUAGCGCCCAAUCUGCCCCGGGCAGUCCCGGGCUGGCAGCCUGACCCAGUACCCCGGGCGCUUGAGUGUCAUGUCCCCGGAUCACUGCUUGGGCCCCCACUUUGGGGAAGAUGCACGCGAGUACCGCUUCCCCGGGGCUCGCCCUGAAUCAGGCGCCUGCGCUCUCAGGGGCGCCCACCCUACCCCGACGGCCGAGUUUGCGCACCUCCUGAGACAGUUUGAGAGAAGGACAAACUUUUGAGUGGAUAAAAAUCAAGAGGAACCCGUCUGGAGCAGGGGUCCUCUUUCCCUUGAAUGGAGAAGCUGGUCGAUUCUGCCUCUUGGCCGUCUCUUCAAGGAAUGCCCCUGAUUAGCCGGGCCUGCCGCCGCCAUCCACAUUUGCUCAGCAAAGAAGGGAGGCCUCUUAUUGCAGGCCUUGGUGGAGGGGUUCCAGACUGUCUGCCUGGAGCAGCCUCCUUGCCCCAAGCCUGGCCCCGCUGGGAAAGAGGGAACCCAAUUCACUUCGCAGGAUCCGGAAUCUUGAAUCACCAGGGGCAGAGCCAACAGCUGCGACUGCAUCCUCGAGUCUGAGCCUGACGCUGGAAGCAGCUUCUGUCUUUGGGUUCUCCUUGCUGCCUCGGUCUCUGCUCUGUUCGGCUUGCUAUUGUGUUUUUCUCUCUCAUUUAGGGGUUUUGGGGGACAGGGAAAGGAAAUGUUUCUCCUCGGGCCCCUAAUCCUUCCCCACGCCCCUGCCAAACCUUAAAGCUGCUGAUGGUAAUGAGCUGCAGCUUCUGGCCCUGCUCACAAGCUACUCAAAGCAAAUUCAAAUUCUCUUCUGGGCAGGAGGGAAGACAGAUACUCCUUCCUCAGUCCUCCCUUGCUCAUUGAUCCAUUUUAAGGGCAUUUGGGGGUCAAAAUUGAGACCGGAUCGCUUCUGUUGGUGUAAACUUAGCAUUUUUUAUCACGCCAAAGGCCCAGAUUUCUCAAAUCAAGGAAUAGGAGGGCUUCACCCAGACCCACACCUCUUCUCUGGCCUUCUCUGAUGAUAAAGGUUUGUUGAGGCGGAGGAAGAGAAGGGAAAUGAGUAGUUUGUUCUAUCAAGAAAUCAAUCAGUAGCUGCAGCUGUUCAUGCCACUGAUAUUUAUUUAGUAUCUACUAUGUGCAAAGCAUUGUCCCUACCUCUGUUUGUCAUGACGGUCAGUAAUGAGAUUCUUGCCACUGUGAGGCUUUAAUGCAUGUGGACAAAUACAUAAAUAAAUGAACUGAUGGAAAAGAAA